CUAACGUUGACCCGUAAUCCGGGUUGCGGACAGUGUCUGGUGGGUAGUUUGACUGGGGCGGUCUCCUCCUAAAGAGUAACGGAGGAGCACGAAGGUUGGCUAAUCCUGGUCGGACAUCAGGAGGUUAGUGCAAUGGCAUAAGCCAGCUUGACUGCGAGCGUGACGGCGCGAGCAGGUGCGAAAGCAGGUCAUAGUGAUCCGGUGGUUCUGAAUGGAAGGGCCAUCGCUCAACGGAUAAAAGGUACUCCGGGGAUAACAGGCUGAUACCGCCCAAGAGUUCAUAUCGACGGCGGUGUUUGGCACCUCGAUGUCGGCUCAUCACAUCCUGGGGCUGAAGUAGGUCCCAAGGGUAUGGCUGUUCGCCAUUUAAAGUGGUACGCGAGCUGGGUUUAGAACGUCGUGAGACAGUUCGGUCCCUAUCUGCCGUGGGCGCUGGAGAACUGAGGGGGGCUGCUCCUAGUACGAGAGGACCGGAGUGGACGCAUCACUGGUGUUCGGGUUGUCAUGCCAAUGGCACUGCCCGGUAGCUAAAUGCGGAAGAGAUAAGUGCUGAAAGCAUCUAAGCACGAAACUUGCCCCGAGAUGAGUUCUCCCUGACUCCUUGAGAGUCCUGAAGGAACGUUGAAGACGACGACGUUGAUAGGCCGGGUGUGUAAGCGCAGCGAUGCGUUGAGCUAACCGGUACUAAUGAACCG
RNAcentral lists this ribosomal RNA (695 nucleotides) under Enterococcus faecalis. RNAcentral describes it as "bacterial LSU rRNA". It matches the Rfam family "Bacterial large subunit ribosomal RNA", at positions 2222 to 2911 of the family's 2925-position model. Lineage: Bacteria; Bacillati; Bacillota; Bacilli; Lactobacillales; Enterococcaceae. The record is from RNAcentral.